CCUGGUGGCUUUGCGAGGGGAAAAAACCCGAUCCCAUCCCGAACUCGGCCGUUAAGCCCCUCCGCGCCGAUGGUACUCCGUCUCAAGGCGUGGGAGAGUAGGUCGUCGCCAGGC
RNAcentral lists this ribosomal RNA (114 nucleotides) under Chenggangzhangella methanolivorans. The record is from RNAcentral. Lineage: Bacteria; Pseudomonadati; Pseudomonadota; Alphaproteobacteria; Hyphomicrobiales; Methylopilaceae.